RNAcentral lists this ribosomal RNA (180 nucleotides) under uncultured eubacterium MS08. RNAcentral's name for it is "partial 16S ribosomal RNA". It matches the Rfam family "Bacterial small subunit ribosomal RNA", at positions 326 to 523 of the family's 1533-position model. The record is from RNAcentral.
ACGGUCCAGACUCCUACGGGAGGCAGCAGUGGGGAAUAUUGCACAAUGGGGGAAACCCUGAUGCAGCGACGCCGCGUGAAGGAAGAAGUAUUUCGGUAUGUAAACUUCUAUCAGCAAGGAAGAUAAUGACGGUACUUGACUAAGAAGCCCCGGCUAACUACGUGCCAGCAGCCGCGGUAA